Molecule: non-coding RNA, 97 nt
Organism: Mycena rebaudengoi
Lineage: Eukaryota; Fungi; Basidiomycota; Agaricomycetes; Agaricales; Mycenaceae
Source: the annotation of a GenBank genome assembly
GACCUAGUGGUGUAGUGGUAACAUUUCAUGAAGUGCCCAGUUGUGCUGUCUUCCCAUACUUCAGUAGAGGACCCCUGUUCAACUCAGGGCUAGGUCA